Molecule: ribosomal RNA, 473 nt
Filed under: uncultured organism
Description: partial 16S ribosomal RNA
Rfam family: Bacterial small subunit ribosomal RNA
Source: RNAcentral
ACUCCUACGGGAGGCAGCAGUGGGGAAUUUUGGACAAUGGGCGCAAGCCUGAUCCAGCCAUGCCGCGUGCGGGAAGAAGGCCUUCGGGUUGUAAACCGCUUUUGUCAGGGAAGAAAAGGUUCUGGCUAAUACCUGGGACUCAUGACGGUACCUGAAGAAUAAGCACCGGCUAACUACGUGCCAGCAGCCGCGGUAAUACGUAGGGUGCAAGCGUUAAUCGGAAUUACUGGGCGUAAAGCGUGCGCAGGCGGUUAUGCAAGACAGAGGUGAAAUCCCCGGGCUCAACCUGGGAACUGCCUUUGUGACUGCAUGGCUAGAGUACGGUAGAGGGGGAUGGAAUUCCGCGUGUAGCAGUGAAAUGCGUAGAUAUGCGGAGGAACACCGAUGGCGAAGGCAAUCCCCUGGACCUGUACUGACGCUCAUGCACGAAAGCGUGGGGAGCAAACAGGAUUAGAUACCCUGGUAGUCCCAUG